GGGUUCGAUUAUAGCUCAGAUUGAACGCUGGCGGGAUGCUUUACAUGCAAAGUCGAACGGCAGCACGGACUUCGGUCUGGUGGCGAGUGGCGAACGGGUGAGAGUAAUGUAUCGGAACGUGCCUAGUAGCGGGGGAUAACUACGCGAAAGCGUAGCAGUACCGCAUACGCCCUUCGGGGAAAAGCGGGGAACCUUCGGGCCUCGCACUAUUAAACGGCCGAUAUCGGAUU
RNAcentral lists this unclassified non-coding RNA (230 nucleotides) under uncultured Bordetella sp. RNAcentral's name for it is "partial 16S-23S ribosomal RNA intergenic spacer". It matches the Rfam family "Bacterial small subunit ribosomal RNA", at positions 9 to 242 of the family's 1533-position model. The record is from RNAcentral. Lineage: Bacteria; Pseudomonadati; Pseudomonadota; Betaproteobacteria; Burkholderiales; Alcaligenaceae.